CCUACGGGUGGCAGCAGUGGGGAAUCUUCCGCAAUGGGCGCAAGCCUGACGGAGCAAUGCCGCGUGAACGAAGACGGUCUUCGGAUUGUUAAGUUCUGUCUUUACCGAAGUGAGAGUAUAGAGUGAAAAAUGAUAUACUAGGACGGUAGAUGAGGAGGAAGCCCCGGCCAACUACGUGCCAGCAGCAGCGGUAAUACGGAGGGGGCGAGCGUUGUUCAGUGUCACUGGGCGUAAAGGGCGCGUAGGCGGGAGUAUACGUCAGAUGUGAAAGGUUGGGGCGCAACCCCUAGAGUGCAACUGAUACUGGCUAACUUGAGUGUGAGGGAGGGAGGCGGAAUUCCUAGUGUAGCGGUGAAAUGCGUAGAUAUUAGGAAGAACCCCAGUGGCGAAGGCAGCUUUCUGGCUCGUAACUGACGCUGAGGCGCGAAAGCGUGGGGAGCAAACAGGAUUAGAUACCCGGGUAGUC
Molecule: ribosomal RNA, 466 nt
Filed under: uncultured bacterium
Lineage: Bacteria
Description: partial 16S ribosomal RNA
Rfam family: Bacterial small subunit ribosomal RNA
Source: RNAcentral